Molecule: long non-coding RNA, 219 nt
Organism: Corticium candelabrum
Lineage: Eukaryota; Metazoa; Porifera; Homoscleromorpha; Homosclerophorida; Plakinidae
Exons: 4
Source: RefSeq, a predicted model, not a curated record
CCAGAACCUGUGUUUACAACAGAGGCACCUACUGGUACUCAAACAUCAGAACCAGCGUUUGUGUUUACAACUGAAGCACCCAGUUCAACAACAGAACCAACAGAAGCUAGUGGAAACAGCAGUACUAUUGGUAGUGGCAGUGGCCAGCUGGAUCUAGACACGUGUGUAUCAAAUCCAUGCCAGAACAAUGGGACAUGUAGUGACGUCAUCAAUGGUUAU